UAAGCGACUAAGCGUACACGGUGGAUGCCCUGGCAGUCAGAGGCGAUGAAGGACGUGCUAAUCUGCGAUAAGCGUCGGUAAGGUGAUAUGAACCGUUAUAACCGGCGAUUUCCGAAUGGGGAAACCCAGUGUGAUUCGUCACACUAUCAUUAACUGAAUCCAUAGGUUAAUGAGGCGAACCGGGGGAACUGAAACAUCUAAGUACCCCGAGGAAAAGAAAUCAACCGAGAUUCCCCCAGUAGCGGCGAGCGAACGGGGAGCAGCCCAGAGCCUGAAUCAGUGUGUGUGUUAGUGGAAGCGUCUGGAAAGGCGUGCGAUACAGGGUGACAGCCCCGUACACAAAAAUGCACAUAUUGUGAGCUCGAUGAGUAGGGCGGGACACGUGGUAUCCUGUCUGAAUAUGGGGGGACCAUCCUCCAAGGCUAAAUACUCCUGACUGACCGAUAGUGAACCAGUACCGUGAGGGAAAGGCGAAAAGAACCCCGGCGAGGGGAGUGAAAAAGAACCUGAAACCGUGUACGUACAAGCAGUGGGAGCACGCUUAGGCGUGUGACUGCGUACCUUUUGUAUAAUGGGUCAGCGACUUAUAUUCUGUAGCAAGGUUAACCGAAUAGGGGAGCCGAAGGGAAACCGAGUCUUAACUGGGCGUUAAGUUGCAGGGUAUAGACCCGAAACCCGGUGAUCUAGCCAUGGGCAGGUUGAAGGUUGGGUAACACUAACUGGAGGACCGAACCGACUAAUGUUGAAAAAUUAGCGGAUGACUUGUGGCUGGGGGUGAAAGGCCAAUCAAACCGGGAGAUAGCUGGUUCUCCCCGAAAGCUAUUUAGGUAGCGCCUCGUGAAUUCAUCUCCGGGGGUAGAGCACUGUUUCGGCAAGGGGGUCAUCCCGACUUACCAACCCGAUGCAAACUGCGAAUACCGGAGAAUGUUAUCACGGGAGACACACGGCGGGUGCUAACGUCCGUCGUGAAGAGGGAAACAACCCAGACCGCCAGCUAAGGUCCCAAAGUCAUGGUUAAGUGGGAAACGAUGUGGGAAGGCCCAGACAGCCAGGAUGUUGGCUUAGAAGCAGCCAUCAUUUAAAGAAAGCGUAAUAGCUCACUGGUCGAGUCGGCCUGCGCGGAAGAUGUAACGGGGCUAAACCAUGCACCGAAGCUGCGGCAGCGACGCUGAUGCGUUGUUGGGUAGGGGAGCGUUCUGUAAGCCUGCGAAGGUGUGCUGUGAGGCAUGCUGGAGGUAUCAGAAGUGCGAAUGCUGACAUAAGUAACGAUAAAGCGGGUGAAAAGCCCGCUCGCCGGAAGACCAAGGGUUCCUGUCCAACGUUAAUCGGGGCAGGGUGAGUCGACCCCUAAGGCGAGGCCGAAAGGCGUAGUCGAUGGGAAACAGGUUAAUAUUCCUGUACUUGGUGUUACUGCGAAGGGGGGACGGAGAAGGCUAUGUUGGCCGGGCGACGGUUGUCCCGGUUUAAGCGUGUAGGCUGGUUUUCCAGGCAAAUCCGGAAAAUCAAGGCUGAGGCGUGAUGACGAGGCACUACGGUGCUGAAGCAACAAAUGCCCUGCUUCCAGGAAAAGCCUCUAAGCAUCAGGUAACAUCAAAUCGUACCCCAAACCGACACAGGUGGUCAGGUAGAGAAUACCAAGGCGCUUGAGAGAACUCGGGUGAAGGAACUAGGCAAAAUGGUGCCGUAACUUCGGGAGAAGGCACGCUGAUAUGUAGGUGAAGUCCCUCGCGGAUGGAGCUGAAAUCAGUCGAAGAUACCAGCUGGCUGCAACUGUUUAUUAAAAACACAGCACUGUGCAAACACGAAAGUGGACGUAUACGGUGUGACGCCUGCCCGGUGCCGGAAGGUUAAUUGAUGGGGUUAGCGCAAGCGAAGCUCUUGAUCGAAGCCCCGGUAAACGGCGGCCGUAACUAUAACGGUCCUAAGGUAGCGAAAUUCCUUGUCGGGUAAGUUCCGACCUGCACGAAUGGCGUAAUGAUGGCCAGGCUGUCUCCACCCGAGACUCAGUGAAAUUGAACUCGCUGUGAAGAUGCAGUGUACCCGCGGCAAGACGGAAAGACCCCGUGAACCUUUACUAUAGCUUGACACUGAACAUUGAGCCUUGAUGUGUAGGAUAGGUGGGAGGCUUUGAAGUGUGGACGCCAGUCUGCAUGGAGCCGACCUUGAAAUACCACCCUUUAAUGUUUGAUGUUCUAACGUGGACCCGUAAUCCGGGUUGCGGACAGUGUCUGGUGGGUAGUUUGACUGGGGCGGUCUCCUCCUAAAGAGUAACGGAGGAGCACGAAGGUUGGCUAAUCCUGGUCGGACAUCAGGAGGUUAGUGCAAUGGCAUAAGCCAGCUUGACUGCGAGCGUGACGGCGCGAGCAGGUGCGAAAGCAGGUCAUAGUGAUCCGGUGGUUCUGAAUGGAAGGGCCAUCGCUCAACGGAUAAAAGGUACUCCGGGGAUAACAGGCUGAUACCGCCCAAGAGUUCAUAUCGACGGCGGUGUUUGGCACCUCGAUGUCGGCUCAUCACAUCCUGGGGCUGAAGUAGGUCCCAAGGGUAUGGCUGUUCGCCAUUUAAAGUGGUACGCGAGCUGGGUUUAGAACGUCGUGAGACAGUUCGGUCCCUAUCUGCCGUGGGCGCUGGAGAAUGAGGGGGGCUGCUCCUAGUACGAGAGGACCGGAGUGGACGCAUCACUGGUGUUCGGGUUGUCAUGCCAAUGGCACUGCCCGGUAGCUAAAUGCGGAAGAGAUAAGUGCUGAAAGCAUCUAAGCACGAAACUUGCCCCGAGAUGAGUUCUCCCUGACUCCUUGAGAGUCCUGAAGGAACGUUGAAGACGACGACGUUGAUAGGCCGGGUGUGUAAGCGCAGCGAUGCGUUGAGCUAACCGGUACUAAUGAACCGUGAGGCUUAACCU
RNAcentral lists this ribosomal RNA (2899 nucleotides) under Escherichia coli P0299917.1. Its description in RNAcentral is "bacterial LSU rRNA". It matches the Rfam family "Bacterial large subunit ribosomal RNA". Lineage: Bacteria; Pseudomonadati; Pseudomonadota; Gammaproteobacteria; Enterobacterales; Enterobacteriaceae. The record is from RNAcentral.